RNAcentral lists this transfer-messenger RNA (397 nucleotides) under Anaerolineales. RNAcentral's name for it is "MGOM01 sp001797105 Standard tmRNA". It matches the Rfam family "transfer-messenger RNA". From Rfam's summary of the family: Bacterial tmRNA, also known as 10Sa RNA or SsrA, is named for its dual tRNA and mRNA-like properties. Its role is to liberate the mRNA from a stalled ribosome. RNAcentral also lists the same sequence under 1 other name. Lineage: Bacteria; Bacillati; Chloroflexota; Anaerolineae. The record is from RNAcentral.
GGGGAUGAUAGGUUUCGACGGAGGAGGGCGAUCGCGAGCUGCAAGCCGAGAGGCGCCGACCUCGCUAACUCAGCGCGACACACAAGUGCCAAUCGCACGAGCUACGCUGCUCUUCCACUGGCGGCCUAACCCCGUUAGUGGCUGAGCGCGGCCCCCCAGAGGGGCCCGCCGCCCCAAGCUGCUCCCGGCAAGCGAGGGGACCGGCGACAGAUGGUCGGGAUGCGGCGUGCGACGCCACGUAACACGCUCAAGGCAGGCCCUCGGGCCUGAGUGGCUGGCCGGCCGGACGCUUUGUCCCUCGAGCCCCGGUCGGUGAGACACGAUCGAUGGACUAGGCUUGUAGACGCUCGUUGAUCUAUUCUUUCGGACGCGGGUUCGAUUCCCGCCAUCUCCACCU